Molecule: RNA transcript, 1636 nt
Organism: Eutrema salsugineum
Lineage: Eukaryota; Viridiplantae; Streptophyta; Magnoliopsida; Brassicales; Brassicaceae
Gene name: serine/arginine-rich splicing factor RSZ22A
Exons: 7
Source: RefSeq, a predicted model, not a curated record
GAGAACUUUACUCUCGAAAUCGAUAACCCUAGUUUCACGACCGAGGAGGGAGAAGCCGUUUUCUCUGGGUUUUCGCUCUUUCUCACUUCUUCUUCAGGUAGUUGAGCGAUGUCGCGUGUGUACGUUGGUAAUUUGGAUCCGCGAGUUACUGAGCGUGAACUCGAGGAUGAGUUUCGUGUCUAUGGAGUGAUCAGGAGUGUUUGGGUUGCAAGAAGACCACCUGGUUACGCUUUUCUUGAUUUCGAAGACUCAAGGGAUGCUCGCGACGCCAUCCGUGAUUUAGAUGGCAAGAAUGGAUGGAGGGUAGAGCAGUCUCAUAACCGAGGUGGUGGUGGAGGCCGUGGAGGAGGUGGUGGUGGUCGUGGAGGAGGUGAUGGUGGUCGUGGCCGUGGUGGUUCUGAUCUGAAGUGCUAUGAGUGUGGCGAGUCUGGUCACUUUGCACGUGAAUGCCGCUCUCGUGGUGGCUCGGGGAGGCGUCGCAGUCCUUCUCCUCGUGGUCGCAGCCGUAGUCGCAGUCCAAGAUACAGAAAGAGCCCAACCUAUGGAGGACGCAGGAGUUACAGCCCUCGAGCAAGAUCUCCUCCUCCUCCAAGGCGUCGCAGCCCUUCUCCUCGUGGUCGCAACUACAGUAGGUCACCACCACCUUAUAGAGGACGUGAGGAGGUGCCAUAUGCUAACGGAAAUGGCCUGAAAGAUGUGCGCAGAAGCCGGAGCUGAUCUAGAUAGCAAGUUAUGGGAUCGAGAAGCGACUGUUUGCUUGUGACGUCAAGAAGACAGCUUAUGGAGAAAUUAGUAUCUGUGAAUUUCACUAAGAGAACAUGUUUUAGCUAUGGGAUGGAUUGGAUAUGCUUGCUACUUUUGAAUUGCUGGGAUGCUUCUUUUUUGCGUUUGGAUUUGAAGCCGUAGUUGUAUCUGCCGUUAGGUAACGUACUUUUAAAAUUUCCUACCCAAGUUCUUAAAAGACCUAAACAUAAAGUCUGCUAAAAAAACUAUGGAUUUCUAUGUUUUUCAUUGUGGUUUGUUUUAUGGUUGUCGAGGUUUCUUCGGGUUUCUACUGCGUUUCUACUGCUUCAUUGCUUAUCUCUGCUUCUCUACUCUGCCCUGAGGCUUCUUCGUUUAUUGAUUGACCUGCAAUGGCAUCGUCUACUGCUUCAUUGCUUAUCUCUGCUUAUCUACUCUGCUACUCUACUCUGCACUACUUGCUUCUGCUUCUGCUUGCUCUUAUGUUUGAAAACUUCAUCAGCUCUGAUGUUGCCUUCUUCAAAACUCCUCUGCCUUUUCUUUUCUUGAACUUAAAGAGUUGCUGCGGAGCUGCACUUCGUUACUCUGGCAGACGAUGUGCUUCUGCAGUGUUUACCGCUUUUGGUUUAAUCUUUGGUUCGCUGAUGAUUUGAGUCUUGCAAAGGCCCGCAUAAACGAGACUCUUUUGCAUGUAUGUGUUGAAUAUUGCAGAAGCAGAUAAUCUUUUAGUCUAAAUUCUAGUGAUUUCGAUGUUGCUCUGCUUGAUUCUAAAAAAGCCUUUCGAGUGCAACAAAUCAAAGCCAAACUCUGGCCUAGUUUAUGUAUUAUUUUUUGCGUUCGUCCCAACUCGCUACUCUUCGGCCUCUUAAUGAGAUUGGUAAUAUCUUUUUUGUUC